This 1496-nucleotide ribosomal RNA is filed under the name uncultured bacterium. Its description in RNAcentral is "16S ribosomal RNA". It matches the Rfam family "Bacterial small subunit ribosomal RNA". The record is from RNAcentral.
AGAGUUUGAUCAUGGCUCAGAUUGAACGCUGGCGGAAUGCUUUACACAUGCAAGUUCUAACGGCAGCACGGGAGCUUGCUCCUGGUGGCGAGUGGCGAACGGGUGAGUAAUGCGUCGGAACGUGCCGAGUAAUGGGGGAUAACGCAGCGAAAGUUGUGCUAAUACCGCAUACGCCCUGAGGGGGAAAGUGGGGGAUCGCAAGACCUCACGUUAUUCGAGCGGCCGACGUCUGAUUAGCUAGUUGGUGGGGUAAAGGCCUACCAAGGCGACGAUCAGUAGCGGGUCUGAGAGGAUGAUCCGCCACACUGGGACUGAGACACGGCCCAGACUCCUACGGGAGGCAGCAGUGGGGAAUUUUGGACAAUGGGGGCAACCCUGAUCCAGCCAUUCCGCGUGAGUGAAGAGGGCCUUCGGGUUGUAAAGCACUUUUGUUCGGGAAGAAAUCGUGCGGAUUAAUACUUCGUACGGAUGACGGUACCGAAAGAAUAAGCACCGGCUAACUUCGUGCCAGCAGCCGCGGUAAUACGAAGGGUGCAAGCGUUACUCGGAAUCACUGGGCGUAAAGCGUGCGUAGGCGGUUGGUUAAGUCUGCUGUGAAAGCCCUGGGCUCAACCUGGGAACUGCAGUGGAUACUGGCCAGCUAGAGUGUGAUAGAGGAUGGUGGAAUUCCCGGUGUAGCGGUGAAAUGCGUAGAGAUGUGGAGGAACACCGAUGGCGAAGGCAGCCCCCUGGGAUGACACUGACGCUCAUGUACGAAAGCGUGGGUAGCAAACAGGAUUAGAUACCCNUGGUAGUCCACGCCCUAAACGAUGUCAACUGGUUGUUGGGGGAGUGAAAUCCCUUAGUAACGAAGCUAACGCGUGAAGUUGACCGCCUGGGGAGUACGGUCGCAAGAUUAAAACUCAAAGGAAUUGACGGGGACCCGCACAAGCGGUGGAUGAUGUGGAUUAAUUCGAUGCAACGCGAAAAACCUUACCUACCCUUGACAUGUCCGGAAUCCUGCAGAGAUGCGGGAGUGCCCGAAAGGGAAUCGGAACACAGGUGCUGCAUGGCUGUCGUCAGCUCGUGUCGUGAGAUGUUGGGUUAAGUCCCGCAACGAGCGCAACCCUUAUCAUUAGUUGCUACGCAAGGGCACUCUAAUGAGACUGCCGGUGACAAACCGGAGGAAGGUGGGGAUGACGUCAAGUCCUCAUGGCCCUUAUAGGUGGGGCUACACACGUCAUACAAUGGCCGGUACAAAGGGCAGCCAACCCGCGAGGGGGAGCCAAUCCCAUAAAGCCGGUCGUAGUCCGGAUCGCAGUCUGCAACUCGACUGCGUGAAGUCGGAAUCGCUAGUAAUCGUGGAUCAGCAUGUCACGGUGAAUACGUUCCCGGGUCUUGUACACACCGCCCGUCACACCAUGGGAGCGGGUCUCGCCAGAAGUAGGUAGCCUAACCGCAAGGAGGGCGCUUACCACGGCGGGGUUCGUGACUGGGGUGAAGUCGUAANCAAGGUA